Molecule: ribosomal RNA, 396 nt
Filed under: uncultured bacterium
Lineage: Bacteria
Description: partial 16S ribosomal RNA
Rfam family: Bacterial small subunit ribosomal RNA
Source: RNAcentral
AUACGUAGGGGGCGAGCGUUGUCCGGAAUGAUUGGGCGUAAAGGGCGCGUAGGCGGCGCGGUAAGUCUGGAGUGAAAGUCCUGCUUUCAAGGUGGGAAUUGCUUUGGAUACUGCCGCGCUUGAGUGCAGGAGAGGUUAUCGGAAUUCCCGGUGUAGCGGUGAAAUGCGUAGAGAUCGGGAGGAACACCAGUGGCGAAGGCGGGUAACUGGACUGCAACUGACGCUGAGGCGCGAAAGGGUGGGGAGCAAACAGGAUUAGAUACCCGGGUAGUCCACGCCGUAAACGAUGAUUACUAGGUGUGGGGGGACUGACCCCUUCCGUGCCGCAGUUAACACAAUAAGUAAUCCACCUGGGGAGUACGGCCGCAAGGUUGAAACUCAAAUGAAUUGGCGGGG